UCCCUGGUGGUCCAGUGGCUAGGACUCUGUGCUCCCAAAGCAUGGGGUCCAGGUUCUAUCCCUGGUCAGGGAA
This 73-nucleotide transfer RNA is filed under the name Ovis aries (sheep). It matches the Rfam family "tRNA". Rfam says of the family: Transfer RNA (tRNA) molecules are approximately 80 nucleotides in length. Lineage: Eukaryota; Metazoa; Chordata; Mammalia; Artiodactyla; Bovidae. The record is from Rfam by way of RNAcentral.